Molecule: long non-coding RNA, 1980 nt
Organism: Aegilops tauschii subsp. strangulata
Lineage: Eukaryota; Viridiplantae; Streptophyta; Magnoliopsida; Poales; Poaceae
Source: RefSeq, a predicted model, not a curated record
AGCCCAGAACGCAGGAUUCUCAAAAGGAAAAAGCCCCCAACGCAGGCGGCAGCCUUGAUCCCCUCCUUCCUCCCCAGUCCCCACCGCCGCCACGAACUCUGCUCAAGCUCGCUCCCAUGGCUCCCGUCAUCGGCAUGGACUCUUUGCCCGUUCCGCAAGCCGAAAAAGGACUCGAGUCCCUCGAUCGAAAUCCCAGAUCAGACCGGAUCGCGGCGGCAGGCGGCGCCACGACAGGUUGCCGGCCUGCAGUCCUCCUCACGGGACAAGCUGCGUUCGCGGUGCGCUCUCGCUGCCCGCCGGCUUCGACGGUGUGGGCCGGGGCGCCGCCCUUCCGCAGAUCCGCAAUCGAGUCGUGCGUCCGGUCUGCCGCCUCCCCUCGACGUCCACGGCUCUGUGCUCUUCCGUGUUCUCUCCUAGCGCAGGCUGUGGGGGCGCUACGCCGCUAUCUGCCGGCUCCUCAUACAAGAGCGAUGGACAAACUGAGCCCUGUGGGAAACAAUUGCAUCAGCUCAGCGACGUCCAGCGUUUCUCCUCUCUACGUUUCUUUGCACGCCUCAUCUCCAAGCACGAAGCCACGGCGAGAUGUGGGUCAUCAGCCUAAGGCAACAAGCCAAGAAUCGUGAGGGGAGAGAAUUUGACAUCAUAAAUGACUAUCUCUAGUAAGACCUUUUUCCUUAUAUGUUUCUUGUCAAUUAUAUUUCAACCUGCACCUUUCAAAUAUUAUUUCUAUGUGUCCUUACUCCUUGUACUAAGUCUACCAAAACAAAAUACAGAAAUAGCAAAUCUAAGUAUGCUCUAGAUAUUUAACAUGUGAGACAAUAGGUGAAAAAGACCAACAGAGCAUCAUUCUGGAAAGAAGAUAUCAACGUUGGAUUUGAAUCUUUCACAUUUUAUCAAACUCACUUCCAAUGGAUGUGGCACAAACGAAAGGAACCAAGCGGGACUGAGUGCAAGUCUUGUAUUCUUCAUCUGCAUAUAUUAAUAAUGUAGGGUCUAUUUACAGUUGAUUACACUCUGACUAUCUUGUAUGGACAAAAAAAUAAUCAUGAUUCAGAUCUUUUUAUUUAAUAAUUAGCGUGUGAAUUUUCUUGGGGUUGGCAGUUAGUAUAGGUAUAUAUCCGAUAAGGAUUAGGGUGCAAGUGAUGCAAAUUCACAUGAAGUUUAAUAUACAAUGCAAGCAAACAAUUGUAUAGACUCACAAAAUAAUGGAACUUUUUGUUCUUCAGGCAAGCUGGAAUGUUCUUGCAUAACCAGUGAAUGUGCUGCUACCCAUAAUAUUGAUUUUAAUUUUAAAAUAAAUAAGUAGACAUCAAAAUAAACUCAUAAAAUAAUAGCACGGCCAAUGCCACAAUUGAGUACGUAGAUGGUCUGUCCUAAAAUAAUUUUGUGAUAUUUAAAUGAGCUAAAAUAAUUUACGUAGAUGGACGCGGGUCAUAUCCUAAGAAAUAGGCAUCCCACAACCAACAUGAUCCCAACAACGAUAUCCCUUAUGCUCAUCUUUGUAUCCUAACAAGACACACUCAACAGACCGAGAUGUCAGUUUGGUGCGUUCACGAGGUGCAAGAAGGACAUAGCAAACACAACCAAAAAAUUGAAGCGCCGAAUAACCGAUCAAAUAGAUGCUCGAAAGGAGCGUCACCCUGCAGAGUAGUGGAUUGCUGAAGGUUGAUGAGAUAGAUGGAAGUGGAGACGGACUUGACCCAAAAGUGCGGUGAAAGAGAGGUGGUAACCAUCAAUGGACGAGCCGUCUCAAGAAGGUGACGAUGCUUGCGUUUAGCCACGCCAUUUUGAGCAUGAGCACCAGGAUAAGAGAACCAAAGUCUGCUCAGCAAGGAUUCCACACAACAGCUUGGAGAUACUCUCCACCAGAGUCACCAUAGAACACAUGAAUAGGCGUAGAGAAUUGAGUGUGAACCAUGGCAGCAAAAGGCUUAUAGAUAAGACCUCACUACGAGAAGAAAUAAAGUAUAUAUUCAGGUG